CACCGCGGUUAAACGAGAGGCCCAAGUUGAUAAACAUCGGCGUAAAGCGUGGUUAAAAAAUAAGUACACUAAGACCGAAUACUUUUAGUGCUGUUAUACGUAUUCAAGAGUUAGAAGUCCAACUACGAAAGUGGUCUUAAUCAAAUAUUGAACCCACGAAAGCUAUGAUA
This 170-nucleotide ribosomal RNA is filed under the name Hypodytes rubripinnis (redfin waspfish). RNAcentral describes it as "partial 12S ribosomal RNA". Lineage: Eukaryota; Metazoa; Chordata; Actinopteri; Perciformes; Tetrarogidae. The record is from RNAcentral.